GGGGGGAGGCCGGAUCUUGGGCUGCGUCCCCGGCGCCCUGUGCUCCCGGUCUGCGCAGUUGGAUUCGCGCUCCCGGCCGCGCAGCUGCCU
RNAcentral lists this microRNA precursor (90 nucleotides) under Canis lupus dingo (dingo). Its description in RNAcentral is "mir-8799 microRNA precursor family". It matches the Rfam family "mir-8799 microRNA precursor family". Lineage: Eukaryota; Metazoa; Chordata; Mammalia; Carnivora; Canidae. The record is from Rfam by way of RNAcentral.